GUAACGGACAAGAAGGAAAUGAUUGUUCGUUGCAGCCUCACGACACUCGUUUUCACAUUCAUCAAAAUUGGGGUUGUUGAUUCGAGAAAGCGAUCAAGAGAAGUUUCGUCGGUGGACUAUAUUGAAUACUCGACGGCGGCUACGAUGAACACUCGACCGUCAAAACCACCGCAAGUUAUCAAAUUGAGCGAGUUGUUGCAGAAUCAUAACCGGAAAAUGCCUAAUGUGGUUUCCACUGGUCUCCGUUUAUCUCAUGAGGAGUCUUUUUCUAUGCUUCCCGGAGAUCUCACCGGAGAAUUUAAAGGUCAACGAAAUGAGUUGGACAGUUUCCUUUAAAUUCAGGGUCAAAUGAAGUUGUUACUCAAUUUUGAUAUGAAAACUAUGCGAUUUAGUUAUUGGGAAUGUCUUCCAGUUCCAUGAACUACGGUUCCGAAUAUGGUUCAUGUUCACGUCAAACCGGAAAAUCAAAAUCGUUUAUAUAAUCAUUAUAUAGGGCAACUAUUUUGGAGUUUCAUCAAUCAAAUGAUGAUAGUCAAAUACAUUUCAAAUCGUGGAGUAGUAUGAAGGGUUUCACCAAAAAAAAAAAAAAAAUAGUAGUAGUACGAAGUAAGAUGAUUACAUGUAUUUGAUCAUUUGUUAGCAGGUAACGCUUGCCAAAAGGAAACAAUUUCCCUUUUUCAUUAAUAUUUGUUAUACAUGUUUUAUGUAUUUGCUUGUAUUUGUGUGUGUUUGUAUUUUUUUCAA
Molecule: long non-coding RNA, 744 nt
Organism: Eutrema salsugineum
Lineage: Eukaryota; Viridiplantae; Streptophyta; Magnoliopsida; Brassicales; Brassicaceae
Exons: 3
Source: RefSeq, a predicted model, not a curated record